RNAcentral lists this ribosomal RNA (300 nucleotides) under uncultured bacterium. RNAcentral describes it as "bacterial SSU rRNA". It matches the Rfam family "Bacterial small subunit ribosomal RNA", at positions 333 to 647 of the family's 1533-position model. The record is from RNAcentral.
ACUGUCCUACGGGGCGCAGCAGUGGGGAAUAUUGGGCAAUGGGCGCAAGCCUGACCCAGCAACGCCGCGUGAAGGAAGAAGGCUUUCGGGUUGUAAACUUCUUUUCUCAGGGACGAAGCAAGUGACGGUACCUGAGGAAUAAGCCACGACUAACUACGUGCCAGCAGCCGCGGUAAUACGUAGGUGGCAAGCGUUAUCCGGAUUUACUGGGUGUAAAGGGCGUGUAGGCGGGAAAGCAAGUCAGAUGUGAAAACCACGGGCUCAACCUGUGGCCUGCAUUUGAAACUGUUUUUUUUGCGU